Molecule: ribosomal RNA, 253 nt
Filed under: uncultured Mycobacterium sp.
Lineage: Bacteria; Bacillati; Actinomycetota; Actinomycetes; Mycobacteriales; Mycobacteriaceae
Description: partial 16S ribosomal RNA
Rfam family: Bacterial small subunit ribosomal RNA
Source: RNAcentral
UACGUAGGGUGCGAGCGUUGUCCGGAAUUACUGGGCGUAAAGAGCUCGUAGGUGGUUUGUCGCGUUGUUCGUGAAAACCGGAGGCUUAACCUCUGGCGUGCGGGCGAUACGGGCAGACUGGAGUACUGCAGGGGAGACUGGAAUUCCUGGUGUAGCGGUGGAAUGCGCAGAUAUCAGGAGGAACACCGGUGGCGAAGGCGGGUCUCUGGGCAGUAACUGACGCUGAGGAGCGAAAGCGUGGGGAGCGAACAGG